RNAcentral lists this transfer RNA (74 nucleotides) under Neobacillus mesonae. RNAcentral describes it as "Bacillus mesonae tRNA-Ile". It matches the Rfam family "tRNA". Rfam says of the family: Transfer RNA (tRNA) molecules are approximately 80 nucleotides in length. Their secondary structure includes four short double-helical elements and three loops (D, anti-codon, and T loops). Lineage: Bacteria; Bacillati; Bacillota; Bacilli; Caryophanales; Bacillaceae. The record is from RNAcentral.
CCUCCUAUAGCUCAGCUGGUUAGAGCGCACGCCUGAUAAGCGUGAGGUCGAUGGUUCGAGUCCAUCUAGGCUAG